Molecule: ribosomal RNA, 153 nt
Filed under: Pilobolus pullus
Lineage: Eukaryota; Fungi; Mucoromycota; Mucoromycetes; Mucorales; Pilobolaceae
Description: 5.8S ribosomal RNA
Rfam family: 5.8S ribosomal RNA
About the family: 5.8S ribosomal RNA (5.8S rRNA) is a component of the large subunit of the eukaryotic ribosome. It is transcribed by RNA polymerase I as part of the 45S precursor that also contains 18S and 28S rRNA.
Source: RNAcentral
AAAACAACUUUUAACAACGGAUCUCUAGGCUCUCGCAUCGAUGAAGAACGUAGCAAAUUGCGAUAACUAUUGUGAAUUGCAUCUCGUGAAUCAUCAAGUUUUUGAACGCAUCUUGCACUCUUUGGUAUUCCAAAGAGUACACUUGUUUCAGUA